This is a non-coding RNA of Mayamaea pseudoterrestris, 72 nucleotides long. The record is from the annotation of a GenBank genome assembly. NCBI's taxonomy places the organism in Eukaryota, Bacillariophyta, Bacillariophyceae, Sellaphorales, Sellaphoraceae.
GCAGGAUUAGCUCAGUGGAAGAGCGAAACGUUUACACCGUUUAGGUCGGGAGUUCGAACCUCUCAUCCUGUA